AGAAUAGCUGAAUAGCGAAUCCCUGUGCAUCUGGAAAGAUGGAAGAUUGUCUUGAUAAAGCUUUUCCCUUAGUGCAAUUUCGACCCAGCUGUACUCAACCAACAUGAGGUUCCUUUAUAUUUGUCUGCUUGUCUUUUUCCUGUUCCACCAUGCUUACCUGGACAAAUCAGGUACAGGACGAUGUAGGAGACUAAAAGGAGUUUGCCGUCACACACUCUGCCAUCCUGUGGAAGUCUACGUCGGUAGGUGCAACAACGGAAUGGGAAACUGUUGUGUUGAUGAUGCGGAAGAUAUUCGGAAACUCAAACUGUAAAACCCCUGCUAAUAAUAGGUGGUGAAGAAAGGAAGAUAAGCAAUCAAAAGCAAUGCUUAUGAUUCUGUAUUUCAGUGGUCAAGGGAGAGAACAAAUCUAACACUUCAUGUUGUCACAAUAAACACUAGUCAUAAUUAUGAAUGCAUACUGUUAUAUAUUUG
Pogona vitticeps (central bearded dragon) is the source of this 474-nucleotide non-coding RNA. NCBI's taxonomy places the organism in Eukaryota, Metazoa, Chordata, Lepidosauria, Squamata, Agamidae. The record is from RefSeq and is a predicted model, not a curated record.